This 253-nucleotide ribosomal RNA is filed under the name uncultured bacterium. RNAcentral's name for it is "partial 16S ribosomal RNA". It matches the Rfam family "Bacterial small subunit ribosomal RNA", at positions 524 to 776 of the family's 1533-position model. The record is from RNAcentral.
UACGGGGGGAGCAAGCGUUGUUCGGAUUUACUGGGCGUAAAGGGCGCGUAGGCGGCGCAACAAGUCACUUGUGAAAUCUCCGGGCUUAACCCGGAGCGGCCAAGUGAUACUGUCGUGCUAGAGUGCGGAAGGGGCUACUGGAAUUCUCGGUGUAGCGGUGAAAUGCGUAGAUAUCAGGAGGAACACCGGUGGCGAAGGCGGAUCUCUGGGCCUUACCUGACGCUCAGGCGCGAAAGCUAGGGGAGCGAACAGG